GAUUGAACGCUGGCGGCAGGCUUAACACAUGCAAGUCGAGCGGUAGCACAGGGGAGCUUGCUCCCUGGGUGACGAGCGGCGGACGGGUGAGUAAUGUCUGGGAAACUGCCUGAUGGAGGGGGAUAACUACUGGAAACGGUAGCUAAUACCGCAUAACGUCGCAAGACCAAAGAGGGGGACCUUCGGGCCUCUUGCCAUCAGAUGUGCCCAGAUGGGAUUAGCUAGUAGGUGGGGUAAUGGCUCACCUAGGCGACGAUCCCUAGCUGGUCUGAGAGGAUGACCAGCCACACUGGAACUGAGACACGGUCCAGACUCCUACGGGAGGCAGCAGUGGGGAAUAUUGCACAAUGGGCGCAAGCCUGAUGCAGCCAUGCCGCGUGUGUGAAGAAGGCCUUCGGGUUGUAAAGCACUUUCAGCGAGGAGGAAGGUGGUGAGCUUAAUACGCUCAUCAAUUGACGUUACUCGCAGAAGAAGCACCGGCUAACUCCGUGCCAGCAGCCGCGGUAAUACGGAGGGUGCAAGCGUUAAUCGGAAUUACUGGGCGUAAAGCGCACGCAGGCGGUUUGUUAAGUCAGAUGUGAAAUCCCCGGGCUCAACCUGGGAACUGCAUUUGAAACUGGCAAGCUAGAGUCUCGUAGAGGGGGGUAGAAUUCCAGGUGUAGCGGUGAAAUGCGUAGAGAUCUGGAGGAAUACCGGUGGCGAAGGCGGCCCCCUGGACGAAGACUGACGCUCAGGUGCGAAAGCGUGGNGAGCAAACAGGAUUAGAUACCCUGGUAGUCCACGCUGUAAACGAUGUCGAUUUGGAGGUUGUGCCCUUGAGGCGUGGCUUCCGGAGCUAACGCGUUAAAUCGACCGCCUGGGGAGUACGGCCGCAAGGUUAAAACUCAAAUGAAUUGACGGGGGCCCGCACAAGCGGUGGAGCAUGUGGUUUAAUUCGAUGCAACGCGAAGAACCUUACCUACUCUUGACAUCCAGAGAACUUAGCAGAGAUGCUUUGGUGCCUUCGGGAACUCUGAGACAGGUGCUGCAUGGCUGUCGUCAGCUCGUGUUGUGAAAUGUUGGGUUAAGUCCCGCAACGAGCGCAACCCUUAUCCUUUGUUGCCAGCGGUUCGGCCGGGAACUCAAAGGAGACUGCCAGUGAUAAACUGGAGGAAGGUGGGGAUGACGUCAAGUCAUCAUGGCCCUUACGAGUAGGGCUACACACGUGCUACAAUGGCGUAUACAAAGAGAAGCGACCUCGCGAGAGCAAGCGGACCUCAUAAAGUACGUCGUAGUCCGGAUUGGAGUCUGCAACUCGACUCCAUGAAGUCGGAAUCGCUAGUAAUCGUAGAUCAGAAUGCUACGGUGAAUACGUUCCCGGGCCUUGUACACACCGCCCGUCACACCAUGGGAGUGGGUUGCAAAAGAAGUAGGUAGCUUAACCUUCGGGAGGGCGCUUACCACUUUGUGAUUCAUGACUGGGGUGA
This 1466-nucleotide ribosomal RNA is filed under the name uncultured bacterium. RNAcentral's name for it is "bacterial SSU rRNA". It matches the Rfam family "Bacterial small subunit ribosomal RNA". The record is from RNAcentral.